Molecule: long non-coding RNA, 375 nt
Filed under: Mus caroli (Ryukyu mouse)
Lineage: Eukaryota; Metazoa; Chordata; Mammalia; Rodentia; Muridae
Description: lncRNA (MGP_CAROLIEiJ_G0003259.1)
Source: RNAcentral
CAACAAGGCGACCCCGGACCCCUGCGGGGCAGGCCAGCGGGAAAGGUCGCGACAAUCUGAAUUCAGCAUAUGGAGAGUGGAACUCCAAGCCAGACAAUGCUGCCAGCUGCUGGAGAGCCUGCUGUCGAACGGGAUUGAUUCCUUUCCAAGUGUUCCUGCUCCACCUGCUAAGAAUUUAUGUCCUGGAGCAGUGUCCCCCUUCUUGGAGCAGUGUCCCCCUUCUUGGAGCAGCACCUCCUUUCCCCUUCAUCCAAUUCCCUUGUGUGCCAAUUCUUUUCAGACUAGCCAACCAACUGAAUAAGAUUGUGAGGUCAGACCCCAGCCAAUGGGGAAGAGACACAGCCACCACCUGAAAUUAGAAUAAAAACUAGAUAC